RNAcentral lists this ribosomal RNA (250 nucleotides) under uncultured prokaryote. RNAcentral describes it as "partial 16S ribosomal RNA". It matches the Rfam family "Bacterial small subunit ribosomal RNA", at positions 524 to 773 of the family's 1533-position model. The record is from RNAcentral.
UACGGAGGAUGCAAGCGUUAUCCGGAUUUAUUGGGUUUAGAGGGCGCGUAGGCUGUGCGUCAAGUCAGAGGUGAAAUACCCGGGCUCAACCUGGGAACUGCCUUUGAUACUGUCGCGCUGGAAUACGGAUGCCGUGGGAGGAAUGAGUAGUGUAGUGGUGAAAUGCAUAGAUAUUACUCAGAACACCGAUUGCGAAGGCAUCUCACGAAUCCGUCAUUGACGCUGAGGCACGAAGGCGUGGGGAUCAAAC